RNAcentral lists this ribosomal RNA (479 nucleotides) under uncultured bacterium. Its description in RNAcentral is "partial 16S ribosomal RNA". It matches the Rfam family "Bacterial small subunit ribosomal RNA", at positions 28 to 507 of the family's 1533-position model. The record is from RNAcentral.
GAUGAACGCUGGCGGCGUGCUUAACACAUGUAAGUCGAGCGAGAAGUUUUGAAAAGAUUCUUCGGAUGAAAUUUAAAAUGGAAAGCGGCGGACGGGUGAGUAACGCGUAGGCAACCUGCCCCAUACAAAGGGAUAGCAUUUGGAAACGAAUAUUAAUACCUUAUGAAACUUAACUAGUGCAUGCUAGGUAGGUCAAAGAUUUAUCGGUAUGGGAUGGGCCUGCGUCUGAUUAGCUAGUUGGUGAGGUAACGGCUCACCAAGGCGACGAUCAGUAGCCGACCUGAGAGGGUGAACGGCCACAUUGGAACUGAGACACGGUCCAAACUCCUACGGGAGGCAGCAGUGGGGAAUAUUGCACAAUGGGGGAAACCCUGAUGCAGCAACGCCGCGUGAACGAUGAAGGCCUUUGGGUCGUAAAGUUCUGUUCUAGGUGAUGAAAACUGACAGUAACCUAGGAGAAAGCCCCGGCUAACUCCGUG